Ailuropoda melanoleuca (giant panda) is the source of this 298-nucleotide long non-coding RNA. RefSeq lists it as uncharacterized. NCBI's taxonomy places the organism in Eukaryota, Metazoa, Chordata, Mammalia, Carnivora, Ursidae. The record is from RefSeq and is a predicted model, not a curated record. The transcript has 3 exons.
ACAUGAGGAACAACACUGUCUGUUAUUGUACACAAAUUGACAAGACAGAGAAGUCCUAUUUGAUAACAAAUUUGCAAAAGGAAGUUUGAGAGCACCUGUUGAAAUUAAUUAGAACACCUGGCUUAAGCCCCAUAAAUUCACUGGACACCACAGACAAGUGGAGAUCUCAGGAUUCAGUCCCAGUUACCUCAUAGAAGGAAAUGCAGUUCCAGUGAAUGAAGAGGUUUAAUUAUUAGUGAACACCUGCACCAAGAUUCCGGUCUGUUGAGAGACAGCCAGUGAGAGCGGGAACACAAGC